AAAAAAGAAAAAAAGAAGAAGAUAAUAGAAAGGAAGAAACAAAGCAAACGAAACAGAGAGCAGGGGAAGAAAAGAAAGAAAAAGAGAAAAGAAAGAAGAAAAAGGUGUGAAGCUUGGAAGUUUAAUAGGGGAAGGAUAAAAUCAACGUCGAAUAGCUCAGAAUUCACGGUUUGUAUUCCUAUAAUCCGAACCUAACUGUUAAUUGUUGUAAUUUGAUUUAAUGCAUAUGGUAAGUGUUUGAGGUGAGUAUUUGACAUUUUGAUAGUUGAUUGAAAUGGAUUGAAUUGGUAUA
Gossypium arboreum is the source of this 292-nucleotide long non-coding RNA. RefSeq lists it as uncharacterized. The record is from RefSeq and is a predicted model, not a curated record. NCBI's taxonomy places the organism in Eukaryota, Viridiplantae, Streptophyta, Magnoliopsida, Malvales, Malvaceae. The transcript has 2 exons.